RNAcentral lists this ribosomal RNA (497 nucleotides) under uncultured bacterium. Its description in RNAcentral is "partial 16S ribosomal RNA". It matches the Rfam family "Bacterial small subunit ribosomal RNA", at positions 28 to 507 of the family's 1533-position model. The record is from RNAcentral.
GAUGAACGCUGGCGGCGUGCCUAAUACAUGCAAGUCGAGCGAACAGACGAGGAGCUUGCUCCUCUGACGUUAGCGGCGGACGGGUGAGUAACACGUGGAUAACCUACCUAUAAGACUGGGAUAACUUCGGGAAACCGGAGCUAAUACCGGAUAAUAUAUUGAACCGCAUGGUUCAAUAGUGAAAGACGGUUUUGCUGUCACUUAUAGAUGGAUCCGCGCCGCAUUAACUAGUUGGUAAGGUAACGGCUUACCAAGGCAACGAUGCGUAGCCGACCUGAGGGGGUGAUCGGCCACACUGGAACUGAGACACGGUCCAGACUCCUACGGGAGGCAGCAGUAGGGAAUCUUCCGCAAUGGGCGAAAGCCUGACGGAGCAACGCCGCGUGAGUGAUGAAGGUCUUCGGAUCGUAAAACUCUGUUAUUAGGGAAGAACAAAUGUGUAAGUAACUAUGCACGUCUUGACGGUACCUAAUCAGAAAGCCACGGCUAACUACGUG